GACGAACGCUGGCGGCGUGCUUAACACAUGCAAGUCGAACGGUUAAGCGCCUUCCGUUUUGGUGGGUGUGGAUGAGUGGCGAACGGGUGAGUAACACGUUAGUAACCUGCCCCCUUCUUCUGGAGAACCGCAUGAAAGUGUGGCUAAUACGGGUUAUUCUGGGUCUGUGGCAUGAUGGGUCUGGGAAAGAUCUUGUUUCGGUGGGGGAUGGGCGCGCGGCCUGUCAGGUUGUUGGUGGGGUGAUGGCCUACCAAGGCGGUGACGGGUAGCCGGCCUGGGAGGGUGGACGGUCCCAGAGGGGAGGAGAGACGGACAAGACUACGACGGGAGGCAGCAGGGGGGAAUAUUGCACAAUGGGCGGAAGGAUGAUGCAGCGACGCGGGGGGGGGGAAGGAGGUCUUAGGGUUGUGAACCUCUUUCGGGAGUGAAGCAGGGCUGCCUAGUAUGUGGGUGGGUUGACAGUAGCUGGAGAAGAAGCGCCGGCUAACUACGUG
RNAcentral lists this ribosomal RNA (494 nucleotides) under uncultured bacterium. RNAcentral's name for it is "partial 16S ribosomal RNA". It matches the Rfam family "Bacterial small subunit ribosomal RNA", at positions 28 to 507 of the family's 1533-position model. The record is from RNAcentral.